The sequence is a small nuclear RNA, 205 nucleotides long. Its record names the gene U2. It matches the Rfam family "U2 spliceosomal RNA". From Rfam's summary of the family: U2 is a small nuclear RNA (snRNA) component of the spliceosome (involved in pre-mRNA splicing). Complementary binding between U2 snRNA (in an area lying towards the 5' end but 3' to hairpin I) and the branchpoint sequence (BPS) of the intron results the bulging out of an unpaired adenosine, on the BPS, which initiates a nucleophilic attack at the intronic 5' splice site, thus starting the first of two transesterification reactions that mediate splicing. The record is from Ensembl.
UAAGCUUCUCGGCCUUUUGGCUAAGAUCAAGGGUAGUAUCUGUCCUUGUCAGUUUAGGUAUAAGAGUAAUUGUGGCUUCAUAGAAGGAAUUCGGUAGUGCUCCAUAUGUUUCAAUUUUGUGGAAUAGUUUGGAUAAUAUUGGUAUGAGGUCUUCUAUGAAGGUCUGAUAGAAUUCUGCACUAAACCUGUCUGGAUAUGGGCUCUU